GAAGUUUUGAUAAAAAAAAAAGUUCAUGAAAAAGUUGGAAAUGGAGGUAUAGUUCAUGAUUUUUGGCGUAAUUAACCCUUCUUUUUUUGUCAAAACAAAAUGUACUAUCGUGUUUAUUUGUUUAUUUAAUUCAAAUUUCAAAAAGUAUUUUAGACACUAGAAUAACAUGAAUGCAAAGAGAAAUUUUAGAUGACAAAUUCUGAAGAAUUUUAGAUGUAACAUGAGUAUUUAAUUUGUUACCAAAAUAAGGAGGCCAUUUGAUUUUAGUGUAAUACAUUAUCGAUAAAAUAGUUGAACUUAUCAUCUUUUAAUCAUACUAGCUGAGAUUACGUGCAUUGCACGUAUAAUCUCUUAUUUAACAUCUAAAUAGUAAUAUAUUUGAAAAAAAAAUGAUAACACUAUUAAUUGUUAAUAAUUAAUUUUAAUAAAUAUUUGCAAGUACGUAUAAGAAAGUAUAAAAAAAAUGAAACAAAAGUUAAUAUAUGUACAAUUAGGACCCUCAAAAUUAUAUGAUAGUCACUAUAUAUAACUAAUCUGCUUGAGAAAGAUUAGAAUAACCAAAGACACAUUGCUCUCAUGUUAUAUAGCCCUACUAAUUCUUUAAAAUAUUUCAAAAUCGUAAAACUGAUUGUUAUUAUGGCUAGCUACAAUUAUUAUAGUUGCAUAUCAUCCAAAAAGAGAGUUCAUUAAUUAUAUGUCGUUCCUUCUUCAGAAAUGAAGAGGAGUAGUUAUUAGAAAAGUCUUUUUUAGAAUUCAAUUCUUGAUUCUCUUGUAGAUUGUUAUUCAUUACUUUCCACUCAAAUACAAUAUAGACCUAAACGUCUUUUUGUAAGUAAACAUAAUCAAUAAUGUAGUAAAAUCAGUAAAAUUAGAGAGAAUACCUUUGUACGCCUUUUAAUUAACAUUAUAUUCUUCUUAUUGUAUUCUAACUCAUUUUCACAUUUGUUAGGUCCGGAGGUCUCGAAUAGGUGUAUAGGGGAGGGGGAAAAUACACCUAUAGGCUAUUUUUAAAACCAAAAGGAUCUCAAUACAGAGAUGAAAACAAAACUUUAAUCUCAAACACAAACACUUGUUUACUGAAAAGAUAUUUGACCAAAAUAGGGUUGACGACUGAUACUGAAAGACUCUUCAGUAAGGAGUUAUCAGUUAAGUCACAAGAACUUAACUAAGGCACGUAAAGGCUUCAGUCAAGUUUGAUAAAAACAAAGAUGUUAUAAAUCUUCCUGACUAUCAGAGGAUAGAUCAGUCAGAUUGAUAACAUACGCAGCGGAAAUACUUUUGUUUCGCAAUAGCCUUUGUUGNAUUAUAACACAUUGUUAGGUCCGGAGGGUCUCGAAUAAGUGUAUGGGGG
This 1351-nucleotide long non-coding RNA is filed under the name Salvia miltiorrhiza (redroot sage). RNAcentral's name for it is "long non-coding RNA (SMIL_LNC002306)". Lineage: Eukaryota; Viridiplantae; Streptophyta; Magnoliopsida; Lamiales; Lamiaceae. The record is from RNAcentral.